Molecule: small nucleolar RNA, 135 nt
Organism: Zalophus californianus (California sea lion)
Lineage: Eukaryota; Metazoa; Chordata; Mammalia; Carnivora; Otariidae
Source: Ensembl
UGCGGUCCGGUGUGGAAGCUGCGGCGGCUUCCAUGCAGCUGCUGUGGUCAAAAAGGAGCCGGAGAGACUGCUCUCCCCGACGGCUGCCGUCCUGUUUGCUGUAACUGACCUGAAACAUUUUGGGAAAAGACAGUC